GGCGGUUUGUUAAGCUAGAUGUGAAAGCCCCGGGCUUAACCUGGGAAUAGCAUUUAGAACUGGCAGGCUAGAGUUUUGGAGAGGGUGGUAGAAUUUCCAGUGUAGCGGUGAAAUGCGUAGAGAUUGGAAGGAAUACCAGUGGCGAAGGCGGCCACCUGGCCAAAAACUGACGCUGAGGAGCGAAAGCGUGGGGAGCAAACAGGAUUAGAUACCCUGGUAGUCCACGCUGUAAACGAUGUCGACUAGUUGUCCGUUUCAUAAACGAAGUGGGUAACGCAGCUAACGCACUAAGUCGACCGCCUGGGGAGUACGGCCGCAAGGUUAAAACUCCAAAUGAAUUGACGGGGGCCCGCACAAGCGGUGGGAGCAUUGUGGUUUAAUUCGAUGCAACGCGAAGAACCUUACCAUCCCUUGACAUCCAGAGAAUUUUCUAGAGAUAGAGAAGUGCCUUCGGGAACUCUGAGACAGGUGCUGCAUGGCUGUCGUCAGCUCGUGUUGUGAGAUGUUGGGUUAAGUCCCGCAACGAGCGCAACCCUUAUCCUUAGUUGCCAGCACGUUAUGGUGGGAACUCUAGGGAGACUGCCGGUGAUAAACCGGAGGAAGGUGGGGACGACGUCAAGUCAUCAUGGCCCUUACGGGAUGGGCUACACACGUGCUACAAUGGCGCAUACAAAGGGCGGCGAGCUAGCGAUAGUGAGCGAAUCCCAUAAAGUGCGUCGUAGUCCGGAUUGGAGUCUGCAACUCGACUCCAUGAAGUCGGAAUCGCUAGUAA
RNAcentral lists this ribosomal RNA (772 nucleotides) under uncultured bacterium. RNAcentral's name for it is "bacterial SSU rRNA". It matches the Rfam family "Bacterial small subunit ribosomal RNA", at positions 574 to 1341 of the family's 1533-position model. The record is from RNAcentral.